UUUUUUUUUUUUUUUUUUUUUUUUUUUUUUUUUUUUUUUUUUUGCCCACAAUGUUCUAUUAAACUCUCCGGAACGUCUGCAAUGCAG
Molecule: non-coding RNA, 87 nt
Filed under: Alexandrium minutum
Lineage: Eukaryota; Dinophyceae; Gonyaulacales; Pyrocystaceae
Source: RNAcentral